GAUGAACGCUAGCGGCAGGCCUAAUACAUGCAAGUCGAGGGGUAGAAGAGAGCUUGCUCUCUUUGAGACCGGCGCACGGGUGCGUAACGCGUAUGCAACCUACCUUAAUCAGGGGGGAUAGCCUCUCGAAAGAGAGAUUAACACCGCAUAAAACACAGUAUCGCAUGGUACAAUGUUCAAAUAUUUAUAGGAUUAAGAUGGGCAUGCGUGACAUUAGCUAGUUGGUGAGGUAACGGCUCACCAAGGCGACGAUGUCUAGGGGAUCUGAGAGGAUGACCCCCACACUGGUACUGAGACACGGACCAGACUCCUACGGGAGGCAGCAGUAAGGAAUAUUGGUCAAUGGGGCAACCUGAACCAGCCAUGCCGCGUGCAGGAAGACGGCCCUAUGGGUUGUAAACUGCUUUUGUACGGGAAUAAAGCCUCACUACGAGUAGUGAGUUGAAUGUACUGU
RNAcentral lists this ribosomal RNA (454 nucleotides) under uncultured bacterium. RNAcentral describes it as "bacterial SSU rRNA". It matches the Rfam family "Bacterial small subunit ribosomal RNA", at positions 28 to 481 of the family's 1533-position model. The record is from RNAcentral.